Paramuricea clavata is the source of this 489-nucleotide non-coding RNA. The record is from the annotation of a GenBank genome assembly. Lineage: Eukaryota; Metazoa; Cnidaria; Anthozoa; Malacalcyonacea; Plexauridae.
ACUACGUAGUAAUAAAAAAUGUUAUUAUUUCUUGCAGAUUCUUCAGAGAUCGUUCAGUUACUUCUCGAUGCUGGAGCUCAAAUAAAUAUAAAUGAUACUAGUGAUUGUCCACUGCAUUUAGCAGAAGACCUUGAAAGAUUACAUAUUGUUGAACUGAUCAAAAAACAUACGAUGAAUGAAGACUGACAUGACUCUGUAGUGGCAUACUAAAAUAUAUGGAUACUGAAAUUGGAAAGGUCAACAAGUCGUGAACAAGUUGUUUGCGCACUGCUUGUCGCAAGUUGUCAACAAGUUUGGAACAAUCUGCUAACAACUUGUGACAAGCUUGAUGGCAUUAUCAAACUUGUUGCAAGGCUGUUCCAACAAAUCCGAUGCAGUCAUGAUAUUACAAUAUUGUUACAACCUUGUGUCGUCAACCUUGUAACAUUUUUGUUUCUCGACUUGUGCGUUUUUACGUGUGUACGCGCGGUACAACUCUCGCAUCUUGUA